Molecule: long non-coding RNA, 1281 nt
Filed under: Oncorhynchus mykiss (rainbow trout)
Lineage: Eukaryota; Metazoa; Chordata; Actinopteri; Salmoniformes; Salmonidae
Description: lncRNA (ENSOMYG00000049736.1)
Source: RNAcentral
AUGCAGCAAAUGAUGGACAGAAUUGGUCACUUUAAUCUCUCAGGGUUCAAAUACAAACAUACCCUCCUGCACUCUCUCUCUCUCCAUCCGUUUCAUGUUCCCACCCUCCUGCACUCUCUCUCUCCAUCCCUUUCAUGUUCCCACCCUCCUGCACUCUCUCUCUCCAUCCGUUUCAUGUUCCUACCCUCCUGCACUCUCUCUCUCCAUCCCUUUCAUGUUCCCACCCUCCUGCACUCUCUCUCUCCAUCCCUUUCAUGUUCCCACCCUCCUGCACUCUCUCUCUCUCCAUCCGUUUCAUGUUCCCACCCUCCUGCACUCUCUCUCUCCAUCCCUUUCAUGUUCCCACCCUCCUGCACUCUCUCUCUCCAUCCGUUUCAUGUUCCCACCCUCCUGCACUCUCUCUCUCUCCAUCCGUUUCAUGUUCCCACCCUCCUGCACUCUCUCUCUCUCCAUCCGUUUCAUGUUCCCACCCUCCUGCAGUCUCUCUCCAUCCCUUUCAUGUUCCCACCCUCCUGCACUCUCUCUCUCCAUCCGUUUCGUGUUCCACCCUCCUGCGCUCUCUCUCUCCAUCCAUUUCAUGUUCCCACCCUCCUGCACUCUCUCCAUCCGUUUCAUGUUCCCACCCUCCUGCACUCUCUCCAUCCGUUUCAUGUUCCCACCCUCCUGCACUCUCUCCAUCCGUUUCGUGUUCCACCCUCCUGCGCUCUCUCUCUCCAUCCGUUUCGUGUUCCCACCCUCCUACACUCUCUCCAUCCGUUUCGUGUUCCACCCUCCUGCGCUCUCUCUCUCCAUCCGUUUCAUGUUCCCACCCUCCUACACUCUCUCCAUCCGUUUCAUGUUCCCACCCUCCUACACUCUCUCCAUCCGUUUCGUGUUCCACCCUCCUGCACUCUCUCCAUCCGUUUUGUUUUCCACCCUCCUGCACUCUCUCCAUCCGUUUCGUGUUCCACCCUCCUGCACUCUCUCCAUCCGUUUCGUGUUCCACCCUCCUGCACUCUCUCCAUCCGUUUCGUGUUCCACCCUCCUGCACUCUCUCCAUCCGUUUCGUGUUCCACCCUCCUGCGCUCUCUCUCUCCAUCCGUUUCGUGUUCCACCCUCCUGCGCUCUCUCUCUCCAUCCGUUUCGUGUUCCACCCUCCUACACUCUCUCCAUCCGUUUCGUGUUCCACCCUCCUGCGCUCUUCCCUCUCCCUUUGUGCACUGUGAGUUGUGUAUUUGGUUUUACUGUCUCUUCUGUUCUUUGGCACUGACAUCUAACCUUCAUCUAAUAAUGAAUGAAUGA